GAUGAAGAACGCAGCGAAAUGCGAUAAGUAAUGUGAAUUGCAGAAUUCAGUGAAUCAUCGAAUCUUUGAACGCACAUUGCGCCCCUUGGUAUUCCGAGGGGCAUGCCUGUUCGAGCGUCAUAUUAACCACUCCCGCUUGCGGGGUCUUGGGCUUCGCCUCCGGGCGGGCCUUAAAAUCAGUGGCGGUGCCGUCGGGCUCUACGCGUAGUAAAUUUUCUCGCGAUAGGGUCCCGGUGGAUGCUUGCCAACAACCCCCAACUUCUUAAGGUUGACCUCGGAUCAGGUAGGGAUACCCGCUGAACUUAAGCAUAUCAAUAAGCGAGGA
RNAcentral lists this unclassified non-coding RNA (325 nucleotides) under soil metagenome. RNAcentral's name for it is "partial contains 5.8S ribosomal RNA, internal transcribed spacer 2, and large subunit ribosomal RNA". The stretch from base 1 to 120 matches the Rfam family "5.8S ribosomal RNA", at positions 35 to 154 of the family's 154-position model. The record is from RNAcentral.